AUUGAACGCUGGCGGCAUGCCUUACACAUGCAAGUCGAACGGCAGCACGGGUGCUUGCACCUGGUGGCGAGUGGCGAACGGGUGAGUAAUACAUCGGAACAUGUCCUGUAGUGGGGGAUAGCCCGGCGAAAGCCGGAUUAAUACCGCAUACGAUCUACGGAUGAAAGCGGGGGACCUUCGGGCCUCGCGCUAUAGGGAUGGCCGAUGGCUGAUUAGCUAGUUGGUGGGGUAAAGGCCUACCAAGGCGACGAUCAGUAGCUGGUCUGAGAGGACGACCAGCCACACUGGGACUGAGACACGGCCCAGACUCCUACGGGAGGCAGCAGUGGGGAAUUUUGGACAAUGGGCGAAAGCCUGAUCCAGCAAUGCCGCGUGUGUGAAGAAGGCCUUCGGGUUGUAAAGCACUUUUGUCCGGAAAGAAAUCCUUGGCCCUAAUACGGUCGGGGGAUGACGGUACCGGAAGAAUAAGCACCGGCUAACUACGUG
Molecule: ribosomal RNA, 486 nt
Filed under: uncultured bacterium
Lineage: Bacteria
Description: partial 16S ribosomal RNA
Rfam family: Bacterial small subunit ribosomal RNA
Source: RNAcentral